Long non-coding RNA from Mauremys reevesii (Reeves's turtle), 848 nucleotides. RefSeq lists it as uncharacterized. The transcript has 4 exons. Lineage: Eukaryota; Metazoa; Chordata; Testudines; Geoemydidae. The record is from RefSeq and is a predicted model, not a curated record.
UUGGUAUCUGUGUGAGGUACACUGCUGAUGAAGCCUGGGCUCUUGUGGAAUGAGUGGUCAUGAUGGCUGGAGAUGAGAAAUUUGUCUGUUCAUAGCAAGCUUGAAUACAGGUGGUUAUCCAGAACAAGAUUCUUUGGGUUGACACGAGCAGCCUUUAUUCUUUCCAAUAUUGCUACAAAGCAUUGCAGAAGGACUUAGUCCUCUCACUAUAAAAGGUCCACCUAGGAAGGCCCCCACACCUUUGGAAGAUGCCACUGAUGACCUCCAAGUGAAGAGACCACUUGUGGUGAUAGAAGGACCUGCUGAGGUGAUCCGCCAACACAUUCUGGGCUCCCGGGAGCAGGCCCAGUGCCCUGACAGUGGUUUGGACUGUGCUGAUGCUGUCUUGCACUUGAGCCUGCGACUGACCUUUGAUCAUCCAUGCAUUGAGGGCUCCUGUCUUGGAGAUCCUUAGAACCGAGGAGGCUGCUGGGGCCUGAAAUGUUUUCUGGAGGCAGAUGGGGCAUACAGGCCUAAGGAUCGUAUGGUGGCUGUGGCCCUUGAGUCCUUCAGUCUAUGAAGUCCAUCUGCUCCAAGAAAAGGGAGGAGCCUUCAAAUGGGAUGUCCUGGAUUGACUGUUGAACCUCAUGGGGAAGGCUGAAGGACUGGAGCCAGGAACAGCGCCUCAUGGUGACUGUGGAGGCCAUUGUCCAGACUGACGAGUCGGCAGCAUCCAGAGCCACCUGGAGAGAAGUCCUGGCCACGUUCUUACUCUCUCCUAAGAGGGUUGCAAACUCCUGUCUUGAACUUAUUCAGGAAGUCCCAUAGAUUAAAAUCGUAUCUCCCCAGCAAAGCUCAUUGGCGAUAUA